UUAAUAAUAUAAUCUGCUCAAUGAAUAUUAAAUAGCCGCAAUUUAGUGCUAAGGUAGCAUAAUCAUUUGUCUUUUAAAUAAAGACUAGUACAAAAGAUUCAACAUUCUAAUUUUUAUAUUAAAUAUUAAUUUUAAAUUUUUUCUAAAUGUAAAAAAACAUUUAUUUUAUAGAAAGACGACAAGACCCUAUUGAACUUAACUUAAGUUAAACUGGGGUAGUUAUUUAAUUAAUAUUUUAAAUAUAAUUUUUCUAUAAAAAUCCAUUAUAAUCGAAUUAUUCAGUUACCAUAGGGAUAACAGCGCAAUUAUAUUUUUAAGUUCUUAUAUAAAAAAUAGAUUACGACCUCGAUGUUGAAUUAAUAUCCUAAUUUUUAAAGCAAAUUUUAAUAAAGGAAGUCUGUUCGACUUUUAAAAAAUUACAUGAUUUGAGUUCAGACCGGUAUAAGCCAGGUCGGUUUCUAUCUUCUAUCAACUAUUCUUGUAGUACGAAAGGACCUAAGAAAUUAAUUUUAAUUAAUUUAUUUAGCAAAAAAAUGCAUUAGACUUAGAUUCUAAAAAAAC
This 561-nucleotide ribosomal RNA is filed under the name Petemathis portoricensis. RNAcentral's name for it is "partial 16S ribosomal RNA". The stretch from base 168 to 469 matches the Rfam family "Bacterial large subunit ribosomal RNA", at positions 2072 to 2648 of the family's 2925-position model. The record is from RNAcentral. Lineage: Eukaryota; Metazoa; Arthropoda; Arachnida; Araneae; Salticidae.